AAAUUUAAAAUUUUCAAAUUUUAACUUUUAAAUUUAAAAAUUUUAAACUUUAAAAUUUAAAUUUUAAAAUUCAAAUUUGUAUUUUAAAUACUAAAUUUUUAAUUAAUAUUUUAAAUUUAUAAAUUUCAUAUUUAUAUUUUAAAUUAAAAUAUUAAAAUUUGUAUUUUUUUUCUUCAAAUUUAAACUUUAAAAAUUUUAAAAAUUUGAAUUAUUUAAAAUAAAAUUUAGUACAAAAAUAUUAUUAUAUAACUAAGGGCAAUUUUUGAAUAGACUAUACUUUAUUGUCAAGAUUACUAAAUUUUAUAAACUGAACCAAAUUUAGUAAUGUUAUAAAUAUUACAAUCCAUUAUUAUAUUACUGUAUUAAACCAAACGCGUUAAAUAUUAAUGCAGCAUCAAUAGUAAUUUUAUUUAGAAAUCUAAAACAUUUGAAUAUAUUGAAAUGCUAUAUAAUAUUAUAUAACUCGAACCAAACGCGUCCUCGGUGCCAUGUGUUAUCUCAUGUCUAUACAUCUUUGAAAUGUUAUGAAUUAGAACUUUUCCAGAUAGA
Molecule: long non-coding RNA, 549 nt
Filed under: Ananas comosus (pineapple)
Lineage: Eukaryota; Viridiplantae; Streptophyta; Magnoliopsida; Poales; Bromeliaceae
Description: long non-coding RNA (ACOM_LNC018887)
Source: RNAcentral